Molecule: long non-coding RNA, 380 nt
Filed under: Rattus norvegicus (Norway rat)
Lineage: Eukaryota; Metazoa; Chordata; Mammalia; Rodentia; Muridae
Description: long non-coding RNA NONRATT019863
Source: RNAcentral
GGGUGAGGCGUUGCGCAUGGCUCAACAGUGGGGCCCCGCGGCCGACACGCUUUGGGGAGCGGGGCGUUGCCCGCGGGAGGCUAGUGCGGACCACACGGGCGCCGGCUAGGCGCGGUUCCCCUCCCCUACGGGGCAGGGGCAUGGGCACGGGCGCUUUCGAGGUUGAGCGUGUGGCAGAGGGCUGCGAGCUGGUGAAGUGCCGGGGACCCGAAGGGUUGAUGGUGGGGCGUGCAACGUGUGACUACGGGUCCCCGAGAGGCCCAGCGCGAGCCGGGGCUGCGCGGAGCUCGUGCCUGACCUCCCAUUCAUUCCAAUAGUACCGGCGGCCUACCGCCUGUCAAGGGACCCACCCCUGGCAUCGUGAGCGCUUUUGAGCAUGU